Poecilia reticulata (guppy) is the source of this 8061-nucleotide RNA transcript. It is a transcript of the gene named death-associated protein kinase 2, with no coding region annotated. The record is from RefSeq and is a predicted model, not a curated record. NCBI's taxonomy places the organism in Eukaryota, Metazoa, Chordata, Actinopteri, Cyprinodontiformes, Poeciliidae.
AGAGAAUUUUCUUGAACGCAAGUAUUUGCUCAUAUGGGAUUUUAUCCACUGAAUGAAUUGAUAAGUAGAUUUUUUUUCUAACUCUCUGUGUGAGAUUCUGUUUCUGUAAGAAACGAGGAAUUUAUAUUUCAAGCCCUUUACUACCAACUGGUGGAGCUAAUGCAGCAGCGCGUCGUUUAUGAAGAGCCACUAAAGCCGAAAAGAAGAGUGGCGUUUUCCGCAUUCCUCCUGCACCCUGCAGUCAGCUCGCAGCUCCGCUCCGGUUCUGGACCAGCACAGAGCUCCGCCGCGCCGCUGGGUGGGAACUUCCCAUCGUACAUGGGAUCGUAGUCCUUUCAGUGGAACAUUGGAGCAGGAACAAACCGGGGACUGAGACUUGGACAAAGAAGAUCCAUGUGAAAGCAAAUCAACAUGGCCCUGUUCAAACCUGAGAAUGUGGAAGACUUCUAUGAGAUUGAGGAAGUUUUGGGCAGUGGGCAUUUUGGUCAGGUUCGAAAAGUCUAUGAGAGGACAUCAAGGACUCACUGGGCUGGCAAGUUCCUAAAGAUUCGAAAAACGGCCUGCAGCCGUCUGGGUCUGGACAGGACCAGCGUGGAGCGAGAGGUGGAGAUACUACAGAUAUUACACCACCCAAAUAUUGUGGCACUCAAAGACGUCUUUGAGAGUCGAUCAGAGGUGGUGCUCAUCCUGGAGCUUGUUAGUGGAGGAGAGUUGUUUGACUUCAUUGCUGAGAAGGAGAACCUAUUGGAAUGUGAGGCCAUUGAGUUUCUAAAGCAAAUCCUGGAAGGACUGAAGUUCAUGCACAAGAACAACAUUGCCCAUUUCGACUUAAAGCCUGAAAACAUCAUGUUGUCGGAUAAAGGUUCCCCGCACCCCAACAUUAAGCUCAUUGACUUUGGCUUGGCUCACCAUUUUUGCCAAGGAGAGGAGUACAGAAGCACAAGUGGCACUCCCCAGUACAUUGCGCCUGAGAUGAUCAGCAACGAGCCUCUCAGCACAGCAGCAGACAUGUGGAGCAUUGGAGUAAUUACCUAUAUACUAUUGAGUGGUUUGUCUCCAUUCCAAGGUGAGACUGAUGAAGAGACUCUGAAGAACGUCAUUGCUACCGAUUAUCAGUUUAAUAAGCAUUACUUCAGCAUGACCAGCUCCAUGGCCAAAGAUUUCAUCAUGAAACUUUUGAUAAAAAACCCCAAUGAAAGAAUGACAGCUGAAGAAUGUCUUGUACAUCCAUGGAUAAAGCCCAUCACUCGCAUACAGGUGGACAAAAGGAGCCGAUCUUCAAUCAAUAUGAGGAGCUUUAAGAAAUUUAACGCCAAAAGGAAAUGGAAGAUGUCCUACAACAUGGUGUUGAUGUGUAACCGGCUUGUCAGUCUGAGGCUACCGUGUAAGAGCAGCUCCAAUCCAGAUCCACUGCAGCAGGCUCAGAGAAGAAAACUGAGCAGAAAAUGGCUGCCUGUCCACCAGCUGGUCCACAUCAACAGGGUCGCCAACUAGGUGAGCAUCAGAUGUUUUCAUUUAGACACACAAGGUUAAACUUUAUUUCAACAACACAGACCGUUGUGCAUUUUUUUGUCUAAACUCAAUUCUCUGUUAGUAUCACAAAGGGCUCAGUUUUAAAAUACUUAAAUGUUUCUGUUACAGCAAAAUAAUGGUAUUAAAGUCAUCACUGAUUUGUUAAUGUCACGGUCUUUACUGUGCUUUCAGUUUCAGAUGGAGUAUCUAUGGCCAAAUGUUUCCUUCCUUCCAACCAUGGAGAUUAUUCUGACAUGAAUUGAUCUUUUUAUUGUCCGUCAUUCUUGUUCCUUGGUUGGUCACGUUCAGGCUUGAUUUAAUGUAUAUGUUCAUUGUGUUCUUUGAAGGCUUUUAUUUUGCGUUGCUGAGGGUAAGUACAGAGUUUAAGCAUGUUCAUGUUCUAUUACACGCUGAGGGUGUAAUAUGAAAUUGAUUUUUGAGUAAAAGAAAAAUAAAUGUGAUAGUAAUAAUUUAUCAUCAUUCAUUCAAAUGAGAUGGUGACCCACCAUAUAAUUAAAUAAGCUAAAGAAUUACAAAUCCUUUAUCAUAUCACACUCACAUGUUUUUUGAUUACCUCCAUUGUCCUUAUAUGUAUUUUGUCAAGAAGACAUCCAUCCAUCCAUCCAUCCAUCCAUUUUCUUACACCCUUGUCCCUUAAUGGGGUCGGGAGGGUUGCUGGUGCCCAUUUCCAGCUAGCGUACUGGACGAGAGGCUGGGUACACCCUGGACAGGUUGCCAGUCUGUCGCAGUGUCAAGAAAACAUAUGUGGGUAAUGGUGGUAAAAAUAUAUUUUUCUGCUUCAGGAAACUUCAAAGCAACGGCAGCAGUCUUGAAACCAGACCAAGCUGGUGAUUGCAGCACCCCUGUCACUCCUACAUCAGUUUCUUCAAAUCGUCCUGUACCAGUACCUCCACAGUUGCUUGCUCUCAAAAUUUAAUUAAGCAAAACCACAUCACCCUUAAGACCAGAGCCUGUUUUGGGUCUCAGUAUAUUAUACAGGAACACCUGCAGCAUCCUCAAGUUCCUCUGCAUCACCUGCAGCUUCUGGUCAGCCAGAGGUGGCACACUCCACUGCACCUGCUCCACCUUCAUCAUUCUGUGCAACCUCAGCAGGAGAUCUUCCAGAUGUGUUUGGUGACCAGCCAGCUGCUCCAUCGCUCCCCAGCUACGAUCAGGAUGUGAAGCAAUGGAACUGCUCUCACCAGCAAAGGAUUUGGAUGAAAACAGAGAUGGAAUCCCUGGGUCUGUGGCCUGGCUCUCGACCAGUGAAACAUCUGAUGAACAUGAUUUCUUUGUGGCGUUACCCUCCUCAUUGAUUCUAUCCAAAACCUCCCAUCACCUAAAUAUUUUCAUCUCCAUCCGUUUUUUAUCUGGAAACCUGAGCACGCCAUAAUGGAAAGAGUGCGCAACAACUACUCACUUCCAUGUUUGUACAGCUGUACAAACCCCCAUGUUGUGUCAUCAGGAGUUGGCCGGCCCCGUAUUGUCAUUAGUACUACAGUAUUACAAACCAGUAUUACAUCCUGGCCUCACGGCUCAGCUGCAGAGGCUGUAAAAAGUACUGGUUUGCAGAUAAGCCACAGUGGAUCCACAUGCUGCCAGGUCRACUCAAGAACAUCUUUCCUGCCUAUUUGACAUACAAGAAAGACAUAUGUGAUGGACGAGCUGCGGCGCUCAGGGAGGUCUCCAAAUGAUAUGGCCAAUCAGUUGAAUGAAGCCCUUCAUUUGAAGUAUGAGCGUGCUCACUUGUCUUACCUGUCCUCUUUCAAAAAUGUGUUGGAUGGAGAGAUUGGACUCUAUGGCCAGAAGACCAUCACUGCUUCCCUGAGAACCACCAACACUGCUGAUCCUUUUGGUGGAUACGCUGAUGCUGAUGGCUGGUUUGGCAUUACAGUCGAAGCUCAUUAUCUGAUGGACUGCAUCAUAAAGGUGUACCGUAGACAGGAGGAGACCCUCAAUCUGCUCCUUCAAGGCACGUUUGGGCAGGCUUUUAGAGCAGACCAUACCUGGAAGGUGGCCCGAAAAGUUGUGCUGGCAUCCGGCACAAUGUCUUCCUAUGCCGUUACGAACAACUAGCCAUGACUUACUGGGCAAAUAUUAAAGGACAUAGUGAAGCUCAUCCUCCGCAUGUUACACUACAACCUUGUCAAGAAAAAGAAAAGAAGCAAAUUAAUAGUUUGGGUGCAUAAUUUUAAAUAAAGUAAAAGAUAUUGGGAUAGAUAAUUUUCUAGUUAGUCCAGUGGUUGUUACUCCUGUUCAUCAUGGAUUUUUGGUUAGGCUGAAGUUGAUUUAAAGUUAUUGGAAAAAGGGAGACAAUUAGAAAAAAAGGAAGUGGAAAGUUAUCUAAAAAGAGAAUAUUCAGAAUAUAUUCAAAUAUAUACAGAUGCCUCUAAAAUGUUAAACAACCAAGUAGGUAUAUCAUUUGUAGUUCCAGAUUUAAAUUUUAUGAAAAAUAAAAGAAUAACUGAUAAACUGACAGUGUAUACAGGUGAGUUAAUGGCAAUUUUAAUGGCUUUAGAAUGGGUUGAGGAAAUGGAAAGAAGAGAGGUUUUAAUUUGUUCAGAUUCAAGUAGCGUAUUAAUUAAUAUUCAAGAGGUAAAUUCAGAAUCAAGGCAAGAUAUUAUAUUGGAAAUAAUUAAUUCAAUUUUCAGGAUUAAAAAUCAUGGUUCUCAUGUUUAACUAGUUUGGAUUCCAGCCCACAUUGGUGUGGUAGGAAAUGAGUUGGCUGAUAGUUUUGCUAAGAGCUCUUCAAAAAAGAAUAUAUUGUUGAUUUGAAUAUUAAGAUAAGUAAAAAUGAGAUAAAGAAUAUUAUAAAAGAGUAUAUCAAGGGGAAAUGGCAAAAGCAGUGGGAUAGAGGAGACAAGGCGAGGUUUUAUUAUAGUAUCCCAAAAAAUUUGGGGGAAUUUAGGAAAUGUAAUAGAAAUAAUAAGGAAGAAGAUAUUAUAUCUAGAAUAAGUAAGAAAAAAUAUUUACAAUGUGUUACAAAUAUUUUAGAACUUUGAAUAUUUCAAGUGUAAAAAGUAGAAAUAAAUGAAAAUCCACUUGGAACAGUAACAAAUCCCCAUAUCAAACUGUACAUUGUUCAUUUAAAUUAAUGGCAUUAUUUACACCGAACUAUAGGACUUGCAAAAUUAUCUGCAAUUAUUUGCCCUUUUCGGCAGCCCACCUCUCCUUUUCAGCCUCAUAAAAAGAGGAUUGACAAAACUCCCCCCAUGCCAUUUCCCCUUUCAUUCCCUGGUACUGGUACAAGGACAGGACUUUUGCAGGACAGUAAAUGUACUUCUCAUUCACACCAGGGAACCCAGUGUGAACAUGGGUACUGUUUGGGCCUUGUUUGAGAGGUCUGUCGCAGAACCUGCACAGACGCCCAGCAGGCUGCUCCUCCUUGGCCUUCCUUUUUCCCCGCUCCUCCAUCACCCGUCUUACUUUGGCUGAGCGUUGCUUUGCAGCCUCCAGCUCUCAAGCAAAAAAUGGUGUGUCCGCAAAGUCAGAAAAUGACAUUCGAGGGUCAGACAGGCCCUUUGCCACAUAGGUGUGGUAAACCUUUUGUGAGCAGUAAAAAUACUUUACCUCUGCAGACUGAUAGAAGAAAUGAACAGAGGAGCCGUCACCCUGAAAACGGGACUUUGGCUGGCCACAUGCUAGACAGUUCCUAGUUCUCUUCUUCAUGGGCUGCUGAUAUUUCUGCUGCUGUUGCACAAUCUCCUUCACCAUUUGCUCAAUUUGUGCUUUUGUUAGUGGAGCAUCCUGGGCCUUAAUGGUAGGCUGGUUCAUAUUCGCAAGUGGAAUAGUGACUACUGGAAAACUAACAGUCUCACUACCUUCUGUUAGAUGAUGCCACAGCUGUUGCGUCUCUAGAAGUUUCUCUGGGCUGAUGUUUAAAAAUGAUUUUGUGUUUUUCAUCUUGGCUAGAUGCUUCAUGUAACGCGAAAUAUGGUGUUUGGUUGUCGGGUGCAAAAAGCUGUUUGGGUCUUUCUGGGAAGCCUGAACACAAACAGCAUAUUCAGCAUCCACCUUAACGAGGCAGUCUUUCUGCCCGUGGUGCUUUUGUAGAAGCUGGCCAAUCUUAUCCCUCAUGGGCUAUGUCCACCGGGAGUGGUCCAGGACAAAGAUCAGACCACCCGCUUUGAUGGGACCUUUGCGGGCAGCUCGAGGAGAGGCAGCAGGAAGCAGUGGUGUCACUGGUGUCUGUAAUGGAGGGAGAGAAAUUAAAGUUUAGAUUCAGAAAGAAACUUUAUUAGUCCUCAGUGGGCAAUUCAUUUCUGCAGCCAUUAGAAUCAGAAUUUUAAAAAUAUCAGGAUUUUCCCCACAAAGUUUUAUUAAAGUGGUGACAAAAUGUGAUGAAAAACACCUUUUUGGGGCUUUGCUGGACCCCACCUUGUGAGCCUAAUGUAGCCACAGCAGCAGUGCACUCCUGAAACAAAAAAGCAGAGUAAAACUAAGAAAUUAAUUUUUUUGUUAGUCAAUAUUUGCAUAAAAGAUUUAUUUAAUUGCUGUGGAAUAUUUGAAAAUGAAAGAAUCAAUCUCACCUGAACGAAGAGCUCCUCCCUCACUUCUUCAAGUGGAUCAAUGAAAAUUUCAGUUUUUGGUUCCUUGUAAUGAGGAUCUUCAUUCUCAGCCGGGGGGUUCUUUCUGGGACUUAUGUUUGUCUCAGUUCAGGGGGACAGGGCGACAGCCUGGCUCCAGGUACUGCAGACCAAACCUUUCUCUUGUAUCACUGUUGGAAAUGUGUAAAAAUGGAUACUUAGUUUGGCCUAUAAUUUCCUGAGCGAGUCUGUUCAGGUCUGAGACCAGAACAGGAUCAAAAACUGCAGGGAGCUUCAAAUCCGGCUGUUUCAGGUCCACAAGGCGCUGAAAAUUCCACCGAGCAAUUCCCAUCGUCCCCUGUGCCUGGAAGAGCUCAGCGAACACCUGCGUCCCAGUGUCCCACCUGGCCUGGUGGAAAUGAAAGCCCUCCUGCUGAGAAGUUCCCCUCACAGGGAUCCACACAGGUACUGCCGCUUUCUCCCCCUUAACAUGGUUCAACUGUAUGGUUCCUCCGUGUCUUUUGAGGACGCCUUCUCCAACCUCUGGGUCACUCAAGCAGCCACGGAGGAUGUAAACCCUUUGAAUUCUCCGCACUUUCAGCAUGGAGGGUUUGAAGAGUGGCACCCCAUCAGAAUCAAGUUCUGAGUACAAUCUGCAGAACGCUUUCCACUCUCUCCACCAACUCUGCAGGACCUGGGAUCUUGUUUUGGCAGUGGUCUCUAAUGUGCUGCUUUGUUGGGUUUGGUGGCUCGAUCCCACAGAAAACGUAAGCCUGCCGCAGCCUCUGCAGGACAACAACACAGAAAGUUUGCUGACAGGAAUUUGCAGAAUGGGCUGUACAGCAGAUGAUGUUCUGAAGUGCACUCUCUGGAGAAACGCCACAUACAGUGAAACAAGUCCAGCUUGAUGCUGAUUUCACUGUUGUACUUCCUUCUAGAAGCACAGCUGUUGGUGAGGCUUCCAGAAGUUGCCUCAGCUACUGCAGCAUCUGUUGUCUUCCAGGAGUCCCACAGCAGGUGUUCCUGUGGUUCAGGGUUUGGGAUCCUGAAUGAAGCAUAACAAUCCCUGAAACAUAAACAGAAAAAUAAAUUUAGAAAUGUAACAUUUUUGUAAGCAAAGUCAGGCAUAUUUCAAACUGUUUUCCUUAAGCAUGAAUAAUAAAAUAAUAAUUAAAAAAAUUGUCUUCUCUUACCUGUCGACCCAUUGAUGUGUGGCUUUUGGCUGACCUGCAGAAAUGUAUCUACUAGACAACCCUGCAUACAUGGGCUCCAGGGACUUGUCCGUUUCUGACUGCAGCAUCACGCUGGACAAGAUCAUCCAGUUUUUGUUCAUAACGGCAUAGGAAGACAUUGUGCCGGAUGCCAGCACAACUUUUCGGGCCACCUUCCAGGUAUGGUCUGCUCUAAAAGCCUGCCCAAACGUGCCUUGAAGGAGCAGAUUGAGGGUCUCCUCCUGUCUACGGUACACCUUUAUGAUGCAGUCCAUCAGAUAAUGAGCUUCGACUGUAAUGCCAAACCAGCCAUCAGCAUCAGCGUAUCCACCAAAAGGAUCAGCAGUGUUGGUGGUUCUCAGGGAAGCAGUGAUGGUCUUCUGGCCAUAGAGUCCAAUCUCUCCAUCCAACACAUUUUUGAAAGGACAGGUAAGACAAGUGAGCACGCUCAUACUUCAAAUGAAGGGCUUCAUUCAACUGAUUGGCCAUAUCAUUUGGAGACCUCCCUGAGCGCCGCAGCUCGUCCAUCACAUAUGUCUUUCUUGUAUGUCAAAUAGGCAGGAAAGAUGUUCUUGAGUYGACCUGGCAGCAUGUGGAUCCACUGUGGCUUAUCUGCAAACCAGUACUUUUUACAGCCUCCUGAGCUUCAGUGGCAUCUCACCCAUCUCAACCUGUAGAGCUGAAACUGGAGUUGAUUCCAUCGCUCCGCAGCAAAGUCUUAAUACCUGAUAUUGUAUUUUAUCUAUCUUUGCCAAUAAACUACUUGAAGCUGAAUUAUAUAAAAUACAACCAGUCAAAGAUUGAUCGAAUUA